GCUCUGAUGGCCAAGUUGGUAAGGCGCGUCACUAGUACCCCAACACAAAGAAGCUAAUGACGAGAUCAACGGUUCAAAUCCGUUUCAGAGCA
This 92-nucleotide transfer RNA is filed under the name Tuber borchii (whitish truffle). It matches the Rfam family "tRNA". From Rfam's summary of the family: Transfer RNA (tRNA) molecules are approximately 80 nucleotides in length. Their secondary structure includes four short double-helical elements and three loops (D, anti-codon, and T loops). Further hydrogen bonds mediate the characteristic L-shaped molecular structure. tRNAs have two regions of fundamental functional importance: the anti-codon, which is responsible for specific mRNA codon recognition, and the 3' end, to which the tRNAs corresponding amino acid is attached (by aminoacyl-tRNA synthetases). tRNAs cope with the degeneracy of the genetic code in two manners: having more than one tRNA (with a specific anti-codon) for a particular amino acid; and 'wobble' base-pairing, i.e. permitting non-standard base-pairing at the 3rd anti-codon position. The record is from Rfam by way of RNAcentral. Lineage: Eukaryota; Fungi; Ascomycota; Pezizomycetes; Pezizales; Tuberaceae.